Molecule: ribosomal RNA, 327 nt
Filed under: uncultured eukaryote
Lineage: Eukaryota
Description: partial 18S ribosomal RNA
Rfam family: Eukaryotic small subunit ribosomal RNA
Source: RNAcentral
CCCUUAGAUGUUCUGGGCUGCACGCGCGCUGCACUGAUACACUCAACGAGUUUCGCCCUGCUUCGAUAGAGGUGGGUAAUCUUCUCAAACUGCAUCGUGCUGGGGAUAGAUUAUUGCAAUUUUUAAUCUUCAACGAGGAAUUCCUAGUAAGCGCAAGUCAUCAGCUUGCGUCGAUUACGUCCCUGCCCUUUGUACACACCGCCCGUCGCUCCUACCGAUUGGGUGUGCUGGUGAAAUGUUCGGAUCGGCCGUUUGUCGCGGUUUCCGCGUCAUGUGGCUGAGAAGUUCAUUAAACCCUCCCACCUAGAGGAAGGAGAAGUCGUAACA